AUGGCAUGUACUCUGUCAACAUCAAUAACAAUCAAGAUUAUCUCUUCCAACUUGGCAUCAGUUACCAGGCUCCUCCACCAUAUCGACCUUGGCACUUCUUCUUCCGGCGCCUCCAGCUCCGUCACCUCGCCGAGCUCCCUCUCCUCCGACACGACACCCGCCGCGGCCACCGCCACGGCCUCUCUGCGGCCACUGCACCGCCCUCCCUCUCCGGCACCAACUCCCUCCAUGGCACAUCUGGCUCGUCCGGCUCUCAGUUCACUCGGCUGUUCUCCUCCUCCACGCCGGCGCCGCCGGCACCCGCCCCUCGCAACUCGAUCUACAAUGAUCACAUCACUAACCACAUCAAAUUCCUUCUCAAUCCCGCACAACUACCACAAGUGGAAAUCAUUUUUCCUCGUGGUCCUCAUCCACUGUGGGGUCACUUUUCUCAUCGAGCACCCGCCGCCCCCCAAUGCCGACGCCUAG
This 468-nucleotide ribosomal RNA is filed under the name Triticum aestivum (bread wheat). RNAcentral describes it as "partial small subunit ribosomal RNA". Lineage: Eukaryota; Viridiplantae; Streptophyta; Magnoliopsida; Poales; Poaceae. The record is from RNAcentral.